AUGAGAUGUGUGUGCUGCAUAGAAUCACUGGUGCAGACUCCUUUGUGGAGUUCCAGUCAUGGUGAAGGGCAGCCCAAGGACGAAAUCGAAGUGCGCUACAUGUCCGGUGCAUUUAUGAUGGCUGCUGCUGCCUUUACAUCUAGUAUCGAUCGUCGUCAUUGCUCCGACGCCUCAGCAACAACUCCACGAGGCCAGUCACCUCAGAACUGGAUGUCAAGGAGGAAUCCGAGCUGGCCCAUGUCGGAGGUUCGUCAAUUUUCCCAGAGUUGGGCGUGGAUUCUACUGGAAACUUUUUGGUUGAAGUUUUUCGCUAGGACAUGGUGUCGGACAUGA
RNAcentral lists this ribosomal RNA (333 nucleotides) under Triticum aestivum (bread wheat). RNAcentral describes it as "partial small subunit ribosomal RNA". The record is from RNAcentral. Lineage: Eukaryota; Viridiplantae; Streptophyta; Magnoliopsida; Poales; Poaceae.